GGGUUGUGAGGUUAAGUGACUAAGCGUACACGGUGGAUGCCUAGGCAGUCAGAGGCGAUGAAGGGCGUGCUAAUCUGCGAAAAGCGUCGGUAAGGUGAUAUGAACCGUUAUAACCGGCGAUACCCGAAUGGGGAAACCCAGUGUGUUUCGACACACUAUCAUGUCAUGAAUACAUAGUGGCAUGAGGCGAACCGGGGGAACUGAAACAUCUAAGUACCCCGAGGAAAAGAAAUCAA
Molecule: ribosomal RNA, 236 nt
Filed under: Serratia marcescens
Lineage: Bacteria; Pseudomonadati; Pseudomonadota; Gammaproteobacteria; Enterobacterales; Yersiniaceae
Description: partial 23S ribosomal RNA
Rfam family: Bacterial large subunit ribosomal RNA
Source: RNAcentral